UAGGGAAUCUUCCGCAAUGGACGCAAGUCUGACGGAGCAACGCCGCGUGAGUGAAGAAGGAUUUCGGUUCGUAAAACUCUGUUGUUAGAGAAGAACAGCGCAUAGAGUAACUGUUAUGCGUGUGACGGUAUCUAACCAGAAAGCCACGGCUAACUACGUGCCAGCAGCCGCGGUAAUACGUAGGUGGCAAGCGUUGUCCGGAUUUAUUGGGCGUAAAGCGAGCGCAGGCGGUCAAUUAAGUCUGAUGUGAAAGCCCCCGGCUCAACCGGGGAGGGUCAUUAGAAACUGGUUGACUGGAGUGCAGAAGAGGAGAGUGGAAUUCCAUGUGUAGCGGUGAAAUGCGUAGAUAUAUGGAGGAACACCAGUGGCGAAGGCGACUCUCUGGUCUGUAACUGACGCUGAGGUUCGAAAGCGUGGGUAGCAAACAGG
This 429-nucleotide ribosomal RNA is filed under the name Bacteroidota bacterium. RNAcentral's name for it is "Bacteroidetes bacterium partial 16S ribosomal RNA". It matches the Rfam family "Bacterial small subunit ribosomal RNA", at positions 355 to 776 of the family's 1533-position model. The record is from RNAcentral. Lineage: Bacteria; Pseudomonadati; Bacteroidota.